This 264-nucleotide ribosomal RNA is filed under the name uncultured bacterium. RNAcentral's name for it is "partial 16S ribosomal RNA". It matches the Rfam family "Bacterial small subunit ribosomal RNA", at positions 91 to 353 of the family's 1533-position model. The record is from RNAcentral.
CUUAGUGGCGGACGGGUGAGUAACGCGUGGGUAACCUGCCUCACACUGGGGGAUAACAGUUAGAAAUAGCUGCUAAUACCGCAUAAGCGCACGGUUCCGCAUGGAACAGUGUGAAAAACUCCGGUGGUGUGAGAUGGACCCGCGUCUGAUUAGCCAGUUGGCGGGGUAACGGCCCACCAAAGCGACGAUCAGUAGCCGGCCUGAGAGGGUGAACGGCCACAUUGGGACUGAGACACGGUCCAAACUCCUACGGGAGGCAGCAUG